This 459-nucleotide ribosomal RNA is filed under the name uncultured bacterium. RNAcentral describes it as "partial 16S ribosomal RNA". It matches the Rfam family "Bacterial small subunit ribosomal RNA", at positions 338 to 795 of the family's 1533-position model. The record is from RNAcentral.
CCUACGGGAGGCAGCAGUGAGGAAUAUUGGUCAAUGGUCGGGAGACUGAACCAGCCAAGCCGCGUGAGGGAUGAAGGUACAGAGUAUCGUAAACCUCUUUUGUCAGGGAACAAAGGCGGGGACGUGUCCCCGGCUGAGUGUACCUGACGAACAAGCAUCGGCUAACUCCGUGCCAGCAGCCGCGGUAAUACGGAGGAUGCGAGGGUUAACCGGAUUUAUUGGGUUUAAGGGGUGCGCAGGCGGUCUGUUAAGUCAGCGGUCAAAGCCCGGGGCUCAACCCCGGCCCGCCGUUGAAACUGGCAGUCUCGAGUUGGAGAGAAGUAUGCGGAAUGCGCGGUGUAGCGGUGAAAUGCAUAGAUAUCGCGCAGAACUCCGAUUGCGAAGGCAGCAUGCCGGCUCCACACUGACGCUGAGGCACGAAAGCGUGGGUAUCGAACAGGAUUAGAUACCCGGGUAGUC